CCUCUCUGCCCCUCCAGUGAGGCUGUGGACUGCAGCUGCAGACACCCCACAGCACCCUGGAGCGGCACGGUGUGACAAUUCUGUGAUUCCGUGGUUCUGUGACUGCCCGGACCUGGAGCUGGAGGAGCAGGCGAGGGCAACACGGAGGGCCGGGCCGGGUGCGGACACCGCCUGCAGACAUCGCCCCAGCUCCACCCUGGGCAGCAAUCACUGCCCUAAUGCUCCUCUCCAGGCCCUCCCCGUCGCACCAGCACACCCCCCCGUCGGAUCUGCGGGGCACUGUGGGGUGGCUGUGUAGGACGUGGGCACGCGGCAGUGCCCGCAGGAAGGGUCCGUGACCCCGCAAGGAUGGCGCUGCCCUGACACUGCAGGCCUGAGCAUGGGCUUGCACAUGGGAAGCCUCUUGGAAGUACACGUUAUUAGAAUAUGGGUGGUGACUGAGGGCCCCCAAAAGGGAAUUUUUUGACUGAAAAAUGUGGUUGUGUCCAGGACUGGAAUGCCAUUAAAGUCCGAUCUCUAUGAAAUGUUGCAUGUGUCCAUGAUUUAUCUAUAUGGGCUUUGAAUUCUUGAGGCUACAGCUUUUAAUCAGUGCUAUUUGCAUUACAUAACAUCUUUUAUUUUCAGUCUGAGUUUUGUUUUAAUGAGUGUUUUGUUAAACACAUCAAUGGCGACUCUUCUCUGCCA
This 684-nucleotide long non-coding RNA is filed under the name Anas platyrhynchos platyrhynchos (common mallard). Its description in RNAcentral is "lncRNA (ENSAPLG00000029476.1)". The record is from RNAcentral. Lineage: Eukaryota; Metazoa; Chordata; Aves; Anseriformes; Anatidae.